AUUGAACGCUGGCGGCAUGCCUUACACAUGCAAGUCGAACGGUAACGGGCCUUCGGGUGCCGACGAGUGGCGAACGGGUGAGUAAUGUAUCGGAACGUACCUUUCAGUGGGGGAUAACGUAGCGAAAGUUACGCUAAUACCGCAUAUUCUGUGAGCAGGAAAGCAGGGGAUCGCAAGACCUUGCGCUGAUUGAGCGGCCGAUAUCAGAUUAGCUAGUUGGUGAGGUAAAGGCUCACCAAGGCGACGAUCUGUAGCGGGUCUGAGAGGAUGAUCCGCCACACUGGAACUGAGACACGGUCCAGACUCCUACGGGAGGCAGCAGUGGGGAAUUUUGGACAAUGGGGGCAACCCUGAUCCAGCCAUGCCGCGUGAGUGAAGAAGGCCUUCGGGUU
Molecule: ribosomal RNA, 392 nt
Filed under: uncultured bacterium
Lineage: Bacteria
Description: bacterial SSU rRNA
Rfam family: Bacterial small subunit ribosomal RNA
Source: RNAcentral